GAUGAAGAACGUAGCGAAAUGCGAUAAGUAGUGUGAAUUGCAGAAUUCCGUGAAUCAUCGAAUCUUUGAACGCACAUUGCGCCCGCCAGUAUUCUGGCGGGCAUGCCUGUUCGAGCGUCAUUUCAACCCUCAAGCCCUGCUUGGUGUUGGGGAUCGGCGUUGCCUCCUCCGUCGUUCGCGGCGGGGUGAGGUCGCCGCCCCCGAAAUGAAUUGGCGGUCUCGUCGCAGCUUUCCUUUGCGUAGUAACAUACCACCUCGCAACCAGGAGCGCAGCGCGGCCACUGCCGUAAAACGCCCAACUUUUUCAAGAGUUGACCUCGAAUCAGGUAGGAAUACCCGCUGAACUUAAGCAUAUCAAUAAGCGGAGGA
RNAcentral lists this unclassified non-coding RNA (369 nucleotides) under soil metagenome. RNAcentral's name for it is "partial contains 5.8S ribosomal RNA, internal transcribed spacer 2, and large subunit ribosomal RNA". The stretch from base 1 to 120 matches the Rfam family "5.8S ribosomal RNA", at positions 35 to 154 of the family's 154-position model. The record is from RNAcentral.